RNAcentral lists this ribosomal RNA (2902 nucleotides) under Streptococcus pneumoniae. RNAcentral describes it as "23S ribosomal RNA". The stretch from base 466 to 2902 matches the Rfam family "Bacterial large subunit ribosomal RNA". Lineage: Bacteria; Bacillati; Bacillota; Bacilli; Lactobacillales; Streptococcaceae. The record is from RNAcentral.
UCCGGAGGAUUAGCUCAGCUGGGAGAGCACCUGCCUUACAAGCAGGGGGUCGGCGGUUCGAUCCCGUCAUCCUCCACCAUAUAUGUCGGAGGGGUAGCGAAGUGGCUAAACGCGGCGGACUGUAAAUCCGCUCCUUCGGGUUCGGCAGUUCGAAUCUGCCCCCCUCCACCAUUUUCUUUAAAAUAACCUGAGAGGGUUUAUUUUUUUGAAAAGAUAACCAUACUAGUAAAUAUUAAUGGGCUAUAGCCAAGCGGUAAGGCAACGGACUUUGACUCCGUCAUGCGCUGGUUCGAAUCCAGCUAGCCCAGCCAUUAAGAGCCAUUAGCUCAGUUGGUAGAGCAUCUGACUUUUAAUCAGAGGGUCGAAGGUUCGAGUCCUUCAUGGCUCAUCAUUUUUGCGGAAGUAGUUCAGUGGUAGAAUACAACCUUGCCAAGGUUGGGGUCGCGGGUUCGAAUCCCGUCUUCCGCUUAAUUAAUAAGGGGCCUUAGCUCAGCUGGGAGAGCGCCUGCCUUGCACGCAGGAGGUCAGCGGUUCGAUCCCGCUAGGCUCCAUCUAAAUAAAAAAGCUUACAUCNGGGUGAUGGCGUGCCUUUUGUAGAAUGAACCGGCGAGUUACGAUCCCGUGCGAGGUUAAGCUGAAGAGGCGGAGCCGCAGCGAAAGCGAGUCUGAAUAGGGCGUUUAGUACGUGGUCGUAGACCCGAAACCAGGUGAUCUACCCAUGUCCAGGGUGAAGUUCAGGUAACACUGAAUGGAGGCCCGAACCCACGCACGUUGAAAAGUGCGGGGAUGAGGUGUGGGUAGCGGAGAAAUUCCAAUCGAACCUGGAGAUAGCUGGUUCUCCCCGAAAUAGCUUUAGGGCUAGCCUUAAGUGUAAGAGUCUUGGAGGUAGAGCACUGAUUGGACUAGGGGUCCUCAUCGGAUUACCGAAUUCAGUCAAACUCCGAAUGCCAAUGACUUAUCCUUAGGAGUCAGACUGCGAGUGAUAAGAUCCGUAGUCAAAAGGGAAACAGCCCAGACCGCCAGCUAAGGUCCCAAAGUGUGUAUUAAGUGGAAAAGGAUGUGGAGUUGCUUAGACAACUAGGAUGUUGGCUUAGAAGCAGCCACCAUUUAAAGAGUGCGUAAUAGCUCACUAGUCGAGUGACUCUGCGCCGAAAAUGUACCGGGGCUAAAUACACCACCGAAGCUGCGGAUUGAUACCAAUGGUAUCAGUGGUAGGGGAGCGUUCUAAGGACAGUGAAGUCAGACCGGAAGGACUGGUGGAGUGCUUAGAAGUGAGAAUGCCGGUAUGAGUAGCGAAAGACGGGUGAGAAUCCCGUCCACCGAAUGCCUAAGGUUUCCUGAGGAAGGCUCGUCCGCUCAGGGUUAGUCAGGACCUAAGCCGAGGCCGACAGGCGUAGGCGAUGGACAACAGGUUGAUAUUCCUGUACCACCUCUUUAUCGUUUGAGCAAUGGAGGGACGCAGAAGGAUAGAAGAAGCGUGCGAUUGGUUGUGCACGUCCAAGCAGUUAGGCUGAUAAGUAGGCAAAUCCGCUUAUCGUAAAGGCUGAGCUGUGAUGGGGAAGCUCCUUAUGGAGCGAAGUCUUUGAUUCCCCGCUGCCAAGAAAAGCUUCUAGCGAGAUAAAAGGUGCCUGUACCGCAAACCGACACAGGUAGGCGAGGAGAGAAUCCUAAGGUGUGCGAGAGAACUCUGGUUAAGGAACUCGGCAAAAUGACCCCGUAACUUCGGGAGAAGGGGUGCUUUCUUAACGGAAAGCCGCAGUGAAUAGGCCCAAGCGACUGUUUAGCAAAAACACAGCUCUCUGCGAAGCCGUAAGGCGAAGUAUAGGGGGUGACACCUGCCCGGUGCUGGAAGGUUAAGGAGAGGGGUUAGCGUAAGCGAAGCUCUGAACUGAAGCCCCAGUAAACGGCGGCCGUAACUAUAACGGUCCUAAGGUAGCGAAAUUCCUUGUCGGGUAAGUUCCGACCCGCACGAAAGGUGUAACGAUUUGGGCACUGUCUCAACCAGAGACUCGGUGAAAUUAUAGUACCUGUGAAGAUGCAGGUUACCCGCGACAGGACGGAAAGACCCCGUGGAGCUUUACUGUAGCCUGAUAUUGAAUUUUGGUACAGUUUGUACAGGAUAGGCGGGAGCCAUUGAAACCGGAGCGCUAGCUUCGGUGGAGGCGCUGGUGGGAUACCGCCCUGACUGUAUUGAAAUUCUAACCUACGGGUCUUAUCGACCCGGGAGACAGUGUCAGGUGGGCAGUUUGACUGGGGCGGUCGCCUCCUAAAGUGUAACGGAGGCGCCCAAAGGUUCCCUCAGAAUGGUUGGAAAUCAUUCGUAGAGUGCAAAGGCAUAAGGGAGCUUGACUGCGAGACCUACAAGUCGAGCAGGGACGAAAGUCGGGCUUAGUGAUCCGGUGGUUCCGCAUGGAAGGGCCAUCGCUCAACGGAUAAAAGCUACCCCGGGGAUAACAGGCUUAUCUCCCCCAAGAGUCCACAUCGACGGGGAGGUUUGGCACCUCGAUGUCGGCUCAUCGCAUCCUGGGGCUGUAGUCGGUCCCAAGGGUUGGGCUGUUCGCCCAUUAAAGCGGUACGCGAGCUGGGUUCAGAACGUCGUGAGACAGUUCGGUCCCUAUCCGUCGUGGGCGUAGGAAAUUUGAGAGGAGCUGUCCUUAGUACGAGAGGACCGGGAUGGACGCACCGCUGGUGUACCAGUUGUUCUGCCAAGGGCAUAGCUGGGUAGCUAUGUGCGGAAGGGAUAAGUGCUGAAAGCAUCUAAGCAUGAAGCCCCCCUCAAGAUGAGAUUUCCCAUAGCGUAAGCUAGUAAGAUCCCUGAAAGAUGAUCAGGUUGAUAGGUUCGAGGUGGAAGCAUGGUGACAUGUGGAGCUGACGAAUACUAAUAGAUCGAGGACUUAACCAU